UGGGGAAUUUUGGACAAUGGGCGCAAGCGUGAUCCAGCCAUUCCGCGUGAGUGAAGAAGGCCUUCGGGUUGUAAAGCUCUUUCGCAAGGGAAGAAAACUUAGUCUCUAACAUAGACUGAGGUUGACGGUACCUUGAUAAGAAGCACCGGCUAACUACGUGCCAGCAGCCGCGGUAAUACGUAGGGUGCGAGCGUUAAUCGGAAUUACUGGGCGUAAAGCGUGCGCAGGCGGUUUUGUAAGUCAGAUGUGAAAUCCCCGAGCUCAACUUGGGAACUGCGUUUGAAACUACAAGACUAGAAUAUGUCAGAGGGGGGUAGAAUUCCACGUGUAGCAGUGAAAUGCGUAGAGAUGUGGAGGAAUACCAAUGGCGAAGGCAGCCCCCUGGGAUAAUAUUGACGCUCAUGCACGAAAGCGUGGGGAGCAAACA
RNAcentral lists this ribosomal RNA (427 nucleotides) under uncultured bacterium. RNAcentral describes it as "bacterial SSU rRNA". It matches the Rfam family "Bacterial small subunit ribosomal RNA", at positions 355 to 774 of the family's 1533-position model. The record is from RNAcentral.